This 253-nucleotide ribosomal RNA is filed under the name uncultured bacterium. Its description in RNAcentral is "partial 16S ribosomal RNA". It matches the Rfam family "Bacterial small subunit ribosomal RNA", at positions 524 to 776 of the family's 1533-position model. The record is from RNAcentral.
UACGAAGGGUGCAAGCGUUACUCGGAAUUACUGGGCGUAAAGCGUGCGUAGGUGGUUUGUUAAGUCUGUUGUGAAAGCCCCGGGCUCAACCUGGGAAUGGCAAUGGAUACUGGCAGGCUAGAGUGCGGUAGAGGGUAGUGGAAUUCCCGGUGUAGCGGUGAAAUGCGUAGAGAUCGGGAGGAACACCAGUGGCGAAGGCGGCGACCUGGUCCGACACUGACGCUGAGGCGCGAAGGCGUGGGGAGCGAACGGG